UGUACCGUCCAUACGCUGUGAUCUGGAGCUGAUCUUGCGCUCCAGAAAAGUGUGAGUGCAAUAUAUUUUUUCCUUAUAUUCUGCCUCUGCUGUUAUAGACCUACUACACUAUAUUAGUAUUCCUGUCCCAUUUUGUUUUCUCCCUUAUAUUGGCUCCAUUGGACUCCACACAAGGACUUUAAUUGUUAUGCCCUGUUUCCCUACAUCCCCGGCUAUAUAGAUACAGCAAUACCUGCCCUUGAGUUACUGAUUUUUGUAGAGCUUUCAAAACCAGGAUUAUUCACUAAAGUACUAAUUGACCCCUUUAAAUAACGCCAUCAUAAAUUAGAAUGCAUCUGAAUAGCAGUUCAUCUUAUUUCUUUGCCCCGUUUAGAGCUCGACAUUGUUUUGGUCAAAUUGCUAGAACACUCUGAUAACAUUUUAUUUUUACCUUAAGAUUUCCAUUUAUUCAGGAUUUCCAUGCUUGGAAUUGUGGGAGCCAAUAAAGACUUGCGCAACACACCCUGGAACCCAGAGCUGAACCUCAGAACAUGUGAUCUGUAUUCUGAUGGCACAACGUUUAUAAUAAAUCCCCAAAACUGACUGAAAGUGACAUCUGUACACGGCAGGUCCAUUUUAU
Molecule: non-coding RNA, 619 nt
Organism: Pelobates cultripes (western spadefoot toad)
Lineage: Eukaryota; Metazoa; Chordata; Amphibia; Anura; Pelobatidae
Source: the annotation of a GenBank genome assembly